Non-coding RNA from Fundulus heteroclitus (mummichog), 445 nucleotides. The record is from the annotation of a RefSeq genome assembly. NCBI's taxonomy places the organism in Eukaryota, Metazoa, Chordata, Actinopteri, Cyprinodontiformes, Fundulidae.
CAAUGGCUUCUAUAAUCAUCAGACCUCAGGUGGUGAUUGGUUUCCUCAUCCUGUCAGUGAGCUUCACAGGUGCUGAUGGUCAAACACUGACAGAGUCUGAAUCAGUGGUAAAAAGGCCUGGAGAAUCCCACAGACUGACCUGCACAUAUUCAGGUUUCAGUGGCCAUUGGUGGAACGCUUGGAUCAGACAACCAGCUGGAAAAGGACUGGAGUGGAUUGCUCGUAUCAGUGAUACCAGCAGCAGCAUCUACUACUCUAACUCAGUGAAAAACCGGUUCACCAUCUCCAGAGAGAACAGCAGAAAUCAGGUGUAUCUGCAGAUGAACAGCCUGACAGCUGAGGAUUCUGCUGUUUAUUAUUGUGCUCGAGAGCCACAGUGACACAGGAAGCAGAAACACUGUACAAAAACUACUCAGUGCAUGACAUGAAGCCACCACUGGAGGAA